RNAcentral lists this ribosomal RNA (468 nucleotides) under uncultured bacterium. RNAcentral's name for it is "partial 16S ribosomal RNA". It matches the Rfam family "Bacterial small subunit ribosomal RNA", at positions 28 to 507 of the family's 1533-position model. The record is from RNAcentral.
GAUGAACGCUGGCGGCGUGCUUAACACAUGCAAGUCGAACGGUGAAGGCGGAGCUUGCUCUGCUGGAUCAGUGGCGAACGGGUGAGUAACACGUGAGCAAUCUGCCCCUGACUCUGGGAUAAGCGCUGAAAACGGCGUCUAAUACUGGAUACGAGCUGCGAAGGCAUCUUCAGCAGCUGGAAAGAAUUUCGGUCAGGGAUGAGCUCGCGGCCUAUCAGCUUGUUGGUGAGGUAAUGGCUCACCAAGGCGUCGACGGGUAGCCGGCCUGAGAGGGUGACCGGCCACACUGGGACUGAGACACGGCCCAGACUCCUACGGGAGGCAGCAGUGGGGAAUAUUGCACAAUGGGCGAAAGCCUGAUGCAGCAACGCCGCGUGAGGGACGACGGCCUUCGGGUUGUAAACCUCUUUUAGCAGGGAAGAAGCGAAAGUGACGGUACCUGCAGAAAAAGCGCCGGCUAACUACGUG